GCCCGGUUAGAUCAGCCGGUAGAGCGUUGGACUUUUAAUCCAAAGGCCAAGGUUUCAAGUCCUGGAACGGGCU
Molecule: non-coding RNA, 73 nt
Organism: Ciona savignyi (Pacific transparent sea squirt)
Lineage: Eukaryota; Metazoa; Chordata; Ascidiacea; Phlebobranchia; Cionidae
Source: Rfam